RNAcentral lists this unclassified non-coding RNA (195 nucleotides) under Ascomycota sp. RNAcentral describes it as "partial contains small subunit ribosomal RNA, internal transcribed spacer 1, and 5.8S ribosomal RNA". The stretch from base 1 to 47 matches the Rfam family "Eukaryotic small subunit ribosomal RNA", at positions 1785 to 1831 of the family's 1831-position model. The record is from RNAcentral. Lineage: Eukaryota; Fungi; Ascomycota.
AAAGUCGUAACAAGGUUUCCGUAGGUGAACCUGCGGAAGGAUCAUUGCAAAACCCGUUCGCAGGUGGCGCAAGCCGCCUGUGAACAAAACAAGGUCGUCUGGGGAUAAAUCCCUGGAUUACGCAAGCGCGUAUCCGUGUGGCAGUCUGAACAUUCAAUAAUUACAAAACUUUUAACAAUGGAUCUCUUGGCUCUU